GAUGGGUAGAGACUAUCCCAUAUGUUUUAAGGCAGACAGACACAAACACACACACUAUUACAUAACAUGUUCACAUUCCAAGGCCCAUUCUGUGACUUGCUGAAGCAGCGAAUAGGUUACUCCAUAUUUGAAGACUUACACUAACCUUUCUCUUUCCAAUUUUCCUUGUACUGCAGGAGUUACUGAUUCUGACCGAACUCAGUGGCUCAAUAAACAACUUUGCUAUCUCAGAAAAUCACCCUCUUUGCCAGCAAGAUGUUUGGAGUCAUUCCAAGAAAAAGAGAGAAAAAAAAAUUCUGGUCAAUGGAGAGACGGGACCACAUUGAAAGAGAUCAGAAGACAUUCCUUUCCUGCAGCAAUAAGGAGGACACCCCUGGCUGUAAUGAGAGUCUGAUGAGCUGCUUCAAGGGAAAGGGUGAGGAGAGUGAUUGUUACUUUCUUACCGAUGACAUACCCAGCCCUAUCUCAUUUCUCCAACCACUUGAAAAAAGUUUAUUGACAUAGGUAAUUGCAGCACCAUUGUACUUCUCCCACUUCUGUGUUUCUCUUGGAAUCAGCCAGCACAAAUCAAAACCCUGUAAGAGAUUCUCUUCUCCCCAUCUCUUUUUCCAAUUUGCCCCACAGUGGCUCUGGUAUGUGUUACCCUCACUUCAGGAAACUAAUGAGCCCUCCUUUAUUACACUAUGUUUGUGCUCCUGGUCACCUUUGGUAAGUGUGUUUUAAUAAAAAAAAAAAAAGAGAUAAUUUCUUAGAACAAACAUGCUCCUGCCAUGAAACUGGCAUAUGGUAGGUAAAUCUGACUAGACACAGAUUUUUGUCUAAAAUCUUGAGAAGAGCUAAUUCAUAUAGUUAACUGGACCUAGCUAUAAGGUUCAGAAAUCUCCAACCCUAAAAGUGAAGAUGAUAAAUAUAGACAAUAAUUAAUUAUACCAUAGUUCUCUAAUUUUUUUUUUUUUUUAAGGCUGGAGUUAUACAUCCUUGAGAUGAAGGUGAUCUUUUAGGUAAUACAGUAUGGGAAUCAGAC
Molecule: long non-coding RNA, 1024 nt
Filed under: Callithrix jacchus (white-tufted-ear marmoset)
Lineage: Eukaryota; Metazoa; Chordata; Mammalia; Primates; Cebidae
Description: lncRNA (ENSCJAG00000082839.1)
Source: RNAcentral